AGUCUCGUCACGUGACUCGCGAGAUUUUAUGAUUUUUUUUCACUUCUGGGUACCUGACACAUGGAGUUGUGUAUUGAGUUAAGCGUGUUUCUGGUUUACACAAGGCUUUCGGGGGAAAGUUAAGUAGUUUUACAUCGCAGAAGGGUUCUCUGGCUUACGAUGGAUGAAUUGCGUGUCAGAAAAGCUUGGGUGCGAGUGUCCACCUGGAAAAAAAUCGAUCGAAGUACAGAUUUUUCUUGAAUUUGAGGACGAUAAUGUUAUUAUCAGCUGAUUAUAGAGGAGAAGUUUUGUCAGUGUCCGAUGGGUACAAACGUCAUAUUGUGGCUGCAUCACUUUUGUGUGGCAGAAGUACAAGAGAACCAGGCAGUAACACAGAUGAAAGAUGCGGUUGCUGAAAAAUCCAAAGUCAAGCACCUAAGACAUAACUGACUUUGAAAGAUCAGCCUUCUUAAAAAUGCAAAUCAAAUACAGGAUUUUGUCUGCAUAUCUGGAAAUCUUAGGACAUCACUGAUUUGAUCAAGAACUCAUCCAGCAUGAAGUUUAGCCAUGUGCCUCACCUGUCAUGACAAAAUUAAAGCACUUUGUGACAGUGGGAAGAUGGGAUUUAAAACAUGACAUGGCUCCAUAUUACUGCAUCAGAGACCAAUCCAGGUCAACUUAUAAAGUGAAGGAAAACAGUCAAGCAUCAAUUGGAGCCACAUGUACAUAUGUAACCGCCUUAACAACAUGUCUUCUUAUUUAAGAAAUCACAGUGACCAGUUGUACCUAUGAUGUUGGACGAGAUCAUGAUAAAAACUUUUGGUGCACUCAUCACUAUCUGCAAAGAAAUGAAAAUUUUAAAUGACUUGUAUCAACACUUUUGUACUACCGGUACAUCUGGCUUGUAUUUUCAGAUCGCGUUAGCCUUUAUUUACCUUCAAACAAAAUUUUAUAAGUACCAACCUGCAGGUGUAAAAUGUUUGAAACAAUUUGCUUGUCUCAAAAGGAAAUUCUAUGCCAUUUAGCAGUGUCGUGAGUACUAGACUGAGGUCACAAUUCCACCGGCAAAGAGUACAUCGGGUAUUUGUUGCUGAAUGGUGCCAUAUAAAACACUUUUCACAAGAACCUGGAAAAUGUAUUAAGUUGGAAGUGAACAUCUACACAAAAAAGUGAAUACUUUCUCAAAUAUUAACAAUUAUAUAUUAUGCCUGUGUACAUCCUAAAUAUAUAUAUAAAACUAAUUACACAAGUAAC
Long non-coding RNA from Saccostrea cuccullata (small rock oyster), 1233 nucleotides. RefSeq lists it as uncharacterized. The transcript has 5 exons. The record is from RefSeq and is a predicted model, not a curated record. NCBI's taxonomy places the organism in Eukaryota, Metazoa, Mollusca, Bivalvia, Ostreida, Ostreidae.